GAUCGCACGGUCUUGCACCGGCGACGUAUCUUUCAAGUGUCUGCCUUAUCAACUGUCGAUGGUAGGUUAUGCGCCUACCAUGGUUGUAACGGGUAACGGGGAAUCAGGGUUCGAUUCCGGAGAGGGAGCCUGAGAAACGGCUACCACAUCCAAGGAAGGCAGCAGGCGCGCAAAUUACCCACUCCCGGCACGGGGAGGUAGUGACGAAAAAUAACGAUACGGAACUCAUACGAGGCUCCGUAAUCGGAAUGAGUACACUUUAAAUCCUUUAACGAGGAUCUAUUGGAGGGCAAGUCUGGUGCCAGCAGCCGCGGUAAUUCCAGCUCCAAUAGCGUAUAUUAAAGUUGUUGUGGUUAAAAGCUCGUAGUUGGAUCUCGGGUUCGGGUGAAUGGUGCACCUUGCGGUGUUUACUAUUUAUUCGGACGAUUUUGUUGGUUCGUUCCUGGUUCCCUUAAUCGAGUGCCUUGAGUGGCCAACACGUUUACUUUGAAAAAAUUGGAGUGCUCAAAGCAGGCGCUACAGCCUGAACAUUAGUGCAUGGAAUAAUGGAAUAGGAUCUCGGUUCUAUUUCGUUGGCUUUCGGAGUCGAGGUAAUGAUUAAUAGGGACAGACGGGGGCAUUCGUACUGCGACGUUAGAGGUGAAAUUCUUGGAUCGUCGCAAGACGAACUACUGCGAAAGCAUUUGCCAAGAAUGUUUUCAUUAAUCAAGAACGAAAGUUAGAGGUUCGAAGGCGAUCAGAUACCGCCCUAGUUCUAACCAUAAACGAUGUCGACCGGCAAUCUGCUCUCGUUAAAUUAAUGACUGAGCAGGCGGCCUGCUGGAAACAAGAGUAUUUGGAUUCCAGGGGGAGUAUGGUUGCAAAGCUGAAACUUAAAAGAAUUGACGGAAGGGCACCACCAGGAGUGGAGCCUGCGGCUUAAUUUGACCCAACUCGGGAAAUCUCACCAGGCCCGGACACCGGAAGGAUUGACAGAUUGAGAGCUCUUUCUUGAUUCGGUGGGUGGUGGUGCAUGGCCGUUCUUAGUUGGUGGAGCGAUUUGUCUGGUUAAUUCCGAUAACGAACGAGACUCUGGCCUGCUAAAUAGACGUCAAAUCUUUUAUAGGUUUGUCGUAUGCUUCUUAGAGGGACGGGCGGCGUUUAGCCGCACGAGAAUGAGCAAUGACAGGUCUGUGAUGCCCUUAGAUGUUCUGGGCCGCACGCGCGCUACACUGAAGAAAUCAGCGUGUGUUCCUCAUCCGAAAGGAUUGGGUAGCCCGUUGAACCUUCUUCGUGAUGGGGAUUGGGGAUUGCAAUUAUUCCCCAUGAACGAGGAAUUCCCAGUAGGCGCGAGUCAUUAGCUUGCGUCGAUUACGUCCCUGCCCUUUGUACACACCGCCCGUCGCUACUACCGAUCGAGUGAUUUAGUGAGGACUCCGGACUGGUCUCUGAUGUAACUCUCGGGUUGUGUUGGUGUACUAGAAAGUUGUCCAAACUUGAUUACUUAGAGGAAGUAAAAGUCGUAACAAGGUU
This 1512-nucleotide ribosomal RNA is filed under the name metagenome. RNAcentral describes it as "SSU rRNA". It matches the Rfam family "Eukaryotic small subunit ribosomal RNA", at positions 267 to 1801 of the family's 1831-position model. The record is from RNAcentral.